GAUGAAGAACGCAGCGAAAUGCGAUAACUAAAGUGAAUUGCAGAAUUCAGUGAAUCAUCGAGUCUUUGAACGCACAUUGCGCCCCCUGGUAUUCCGGGGGGCAUGCCUGUCCGAGCGUCAUUGCUGCCCUCAAGCACGGCUUGUGUGUUGGGCUCCGUCCCCCCGGGGACGGGCCCGAAAGGCAGCGGCGGCACCGAGUCCGGUCCUCGAGCGUAUGGGGCUUUGUCACCCGCUCUGUAGGCCCGGCCGGCGCCAGCCGACAACCCAUCAUCCUUUUCAGGUUGACCUCGGAUCAGGUAGGGAUACCCGCUGAACUUAAGCAUAUCAAUAAGCGGAGGA
Molecule: unclassified non-coding RNA, 339 nt
Filed under: soil metagenome
Description: partial contains 5.8S ribosomal RNA, internal transcribed spacer 2, and large subunit ribosomal RNA
Rfam family: 5.8S ribosomal RNA (bases 1-120)
Source: RNAcentral